UACGGAGGAUGCAAGCGUUAUCCGGAUUUAUUGGGUUUAAAGGGUGCGCAGGUUGUUUGAUAAGUCAGUGGUGAAAGUCUGUCGCUUAACGGUAGGAUUGCCAUUGAUACUGUUGGACUUGAAUAUGGAUGAGGUAGGCGGAAUGUGUAGUGUAGCGGUGAAAUGCAUAGAUAUUACACAGAACACCGAUUGCGAAGGCAGCUUACUAAUCCGACACUGACGCUGAGGCACGAAAGCGUGGGGAUCGAACAGGAUUA
Molecule: ribosomal RNA, 257 nt
Filed under: uncultured prokaryote
Description: partial 16S ribosomal RNA
Rfam family: Bacterial small subunit ribosomal RNA
Source: RNAcentral